UAGAGUUUAAAGAGUGCGAGACACACAAUGGGAAUUGAAGUUUCUUGCCUAAGCGUUUUUUUAGCUUCCCAGGUUGUCCUUCAUAGAGAAGUCGUGUAAAAGGUUGUCCUAUCAACAGGUCGAAGUCCCAUGUGUCAAAGAUAUAAAAGCUUAAAUGCACUGAGGUUCCUUCCACCUGAAUGGGCUGGAUGUGUAGGAUUCCUAAACUGGGGAUAAUAUGUUCUGAGAGACUUCUCAUGAAUUUUAUUGUUGGGAUUAAUGUCAUGUCUUGUAUUAAAUUUUCUGCAAGAGACAUAGACAUGAUAUUUAUCCCCACAACUGGAUUAUAGAGAGCAUUUAUUUGAUCUGUAUUGAUUAUGCAAUGAAUAAGAAUAGAAGAUGAAUCUAAACGGAUUAUUUUAGUGGAAAGCUCGGAUUGUUCUAACCAUCAUUACUUAUAACACAUACUAAUUCUCCUAAGGUUCUUGCAGGGGGAAUGUUCUUAGCAGGAUUAAAAGACUCUCUAGUGUUUCUUUGUGGCCUCUUCACAGAGUGAUAAUUCAAAACGUUUCCAAAUUUGGAAAAGAGAUCAGGUUCUAUGUCUACAAUAAAAUCUAGAAAUAGAAGUUCUUCUUUUUCUUGCUCUAGACAUGUGUUAGCUGAAGUAGAUGGUGUGUCUGGCGAAGGGUUGGUUUCAGCUAACUAGGGUUGAGGCUUUACUUCUAGGAGGUAAUCUAAUUUAGUGGAUGGGAUUUGAUCUAGGAUUAAUCUUGCUUUCUCAGAAGAGACAUGCAAGAAAGAUCCUCCUCAAGUAGUGUGGAGCAAUUUUCUACUUUCUCUACUCAGACAUUUAUAAAAAUGUUGUAAAAGAAUAGGGUCUAAUAGACUAAAGUCCUAGCCGGAUGCUAAAAGUAUAGUAAAUCGAUUCCAGGCUGAAGCCAAUGAUGCUUUAGAUUCUUGCUUUAUAGUGAGAACCUUGACUCUAAGGUCAAUGAUUUGGGAGAUGGGAUAGAAAUCUAGGCAAAAGUUGGAACGUAAAGAUCCCCAAUCUCCUUUUUGCUUACCUACGACUCUAUUAUACCAAUGUCUAGCUUUUCCCUUAAAUGAAAAAGGAAAUAGCUUCCAACGAAGAGUUUCGUUAGAUAUGCCUUCUAUGCGAAGAUAGUCACAUGUUUGCUCAAAUUCUCUAAUGUGUAGGUAAGGAUUUUCAUCUCCUUCUCCUGAAAAGGAUAGGCUUUGGACCAAUGCAAUCAACCGCGG
This 1239-nucleotide long non-coding RNA is filed under the name Sorghum bicolor (sorghum). Its description in RNAcentral is "long non-coding RNA (SBIC_LNC006241)". The record is from RNAcentral. Lineage: Eukaryota; Viridiplantae; Streptophyta; Magnoliopsida; Poales; Poaceae.